GAUGAACGCUGGCGGCGUGCCUAAUACAUGCAAGUCGAGCGAACAGAUGAGGAGCUUGCUCCUCUGACGUUAGCGGCGGACGGGUGAGUAACACGUGGAUAACCUACCUAUAAGACUGGUAUAACUUCGGGAAACCGGAGCUAAUACCGGAUAAUAUAUUGAACCGCAUGGUUCAAUAGUGAAAGACGGUUUUGCUGUCACUUAUAGAUGGAUCCGCGCCGCAUUAGCUAGUUGGUAAGGUAACGGCUUACCAAGGCAACGAUGCGUAGCCGACCUGAGAGGGUGAUCGGCCACACUGGAACUGAGACACGGUCCAGACCCCUACGGGAGGCAGCAGUAGGGAAUCUUCCGCAAUGGGCGAAAGCCUGACGGAGCAACGCCGCGUGAGUGAUGAAGGUCUUCGGAUCGUAAAACUCUGUUAUUAGGGAAGAACAAAUGUGUAAGUAACUAUGCACGUCUUGACGGUACCUAAUCAGAAAGCCACGGCUAACUACGUG
RNAcentral lists this ribosomal RNA (497 nucleotides) under uncultured bacterium. RNAcentral describes it as "partial 16S ribosomal RNA". It matches the Rfam family "Bacterial small subunit ribosomal RNA", at positions 28 to 507 of the family's 1533-position model. The record is from RNAcentral.